AGUGAACGCUGGCGGUAGGCCUAACACAUGCAAGUCGAACGGCAGCACAGAGGAGCUUGCUCCUUGGGUGGCGAGUGGCGGACGGGUGAGGAAUACAUCGGAAUCUACUCUGUCGUGGGGGAUAACGUAGGGAAACUUACGCUAAUACCGCAUACGACCUACGGGUGGAAGCAGGGGAUCUUCGGACCUUGCGCGAUUGAAUGAGCCGAUGUCGGAUUAGCUAGUUGGCGGGGUAAAGGCUGACCAAGGCGAUGAUCGGUAGCUGGUCUGAGAGGAUGGUCAGCCACACUGGGACUGAGACACGGCCCAGACUCCUACGGGAGGCAGCAGUGGGGAAUAUUGGACAAUGGGGGCAACCCUGAUCCAGCAACGCCGCGUGUGUGAAGAAGGUCUUCGGGUUGUAAAGCACUUUAGGUUGGGAAGAAGGUGUAUUGUUUAAGAGAUGGUACAUUUGACUGUACUAACAGAAUAAGCACCGGCUAACUCUGUGCCAGCAGCCGCCGUAA
This 506-nucleotide ribosomal RNA is filed under the name uncultured bacterium. RNAcentral's name for it is "partial 16S ribosomal RNA". It matches the Rfam family "Bacterial small subunit ribosomal RNA", at positions 29 to 523 of the family's 1533-position model. The record is from RNAcentral.